RNAcentral lists this ribosomal RNA (1000 nucleotides) under Acinetobacter lwoffii. RNAcentral's name for it is "bacterial SSU rRNA". It matches the Rfam family "Bacterial small subunit ribosomal RNA", at positions 62 to 1056 of the family's 1533-position model. Lineage: Bacteria; Pseudomonadati; Pseudomonadota; Gammaproteobacteria; Moraxellales; Moraxellaceae. The record is from RNAcentral.
UCGAGCGGGGAAGAGUAGCUUGCUACUUUACCUAGCGGCGGACGGGUGAGUAAUGCUUAGGAAUCUGCCUAUUAGUGGGGGACAACAUCUCGAAAGGGAUGCUAAUACCGCAUACGUCCUACGGGAGAAAGCAGGGGACCUUCGGGCCUUGCGCUAAUAGAUGAGCCUAAGUCGGAUUAGCUAGUUGGUGGGGUAAAGGCCUACCAAGGCGACGAUCUGUAGCGGGUCUGAGAGGAUGAUCCGCCACACUGGGACUGAGACACGGCCCAGACUCCUACGGGAGGCAGCAGUGGGGAAUAUUGGACAAUGGGGGGAACCCUGAUCCAGCCAUGCCGCGUGUGUGAAGAAGGCCUUUUGGUUGUAAAGCACUUUAAGCGAGGAGGAGGCUACCGAGAUUAAUACUCUUGGAUAGUGGACGUUACUCGCAGAAUAAGCACCGGCUAACUCUGUGCCAGCAGCCGCGGUAAUACAGAGGGUGCAAGCGUUAAUCGGAUUUACUGGGCGUAAAGCGCGCGUAGGUGGCCAAUUAAGUCAAAUGUGAAAUCCCCGAGCUUAACUUGGGAAUUGCAUUCGAUACUGGUUGGCUAGAGUAUGGGAGAGGAUGGUAGAAUUCCAGGUGUAGCGGUGAAAUGCGUAGAGAUCUGGAGGAAUACCGAUGGCGAAGGCAGCCAUCUGGCCUAAUACUGACACUGAGGUGCGAAAGCAUGGGGAGCAAACAGGAUUAGAUACCCUGGUAGUCCAUGCCGUAAACGAUGUCUACUAGCCGUUGGGGCCUUUGAGGCUUUAGUGGCGCAGCUAACGCGAUAAGUAGACCGCCUGGGGAGUACGGUCGCAAGACUAAAACUCAAAUGAAUUGACGGGGGCCCGCACAAGCGGUGGAGCAUGUGGUUUAAUUCGAUGCAACGCGAAGAACCUUACCUGGUCUUGACAUAGUAAGAACUUUCCAGAGAUGGAUUGGUGCCUUCGGGAACUUACAUACAGGUGCUGCAUGGCUGUCGUC